RNAcentral lists this long non-coding RNA (683 nucleotides) under Gallus gallus (chicken). RNAcentral describes it as "long non-coding RNA NONGGAT003944". The record is from RNAcentral. Lineage: Eukaryota; Metazoa; Chordata; Aves; Galliformes; Phasianidae.
GUCCAAGCUGGAGGAGAUAAUGCAUGUCCAUACGUUAAUUUGCACCUAUUGUCUCUUACCCAGAGCCCCGUAGGUGAAGAUGGGUAGAGGUAUUACAUACAUGCAAUUGGCAAGGCAGGGGCUGUAAACACCUCAUUAGUAACAGAUGCAUAUUUGUAUGUGUUGGCACUGCCAUUUACUUCGGAGCACAGAAAAAAAAUACAUCUCUUUGCCAUUUGGCUUGUGCAAUGUGCAGUGAACUGAGCAGAGAUUUUUGCUGUUUUCUCUCGUAAACAUAGUGCUUGUGGAGCCAGUUCCGAGUUGCCUCACCGGCAGACGCCCGUAGCAUCUUGCAGCAUUCUCCAGACUGCGAAGACAAGAAGUCAGGUGAAGCCCAGUGAGCUGUUCUCAUGUGCACGCUAACGUGGAUGAACUAGCAAGGUGGUCUGUGUGGCUUCACACACCAAGGACAUGGCGAGGCCCAGCAUGGCACGCAGUAGGAAAGCCUCGCACACAGCCACACUUGAUCUGCAAGGAGGUGGAAGGAGCUGGUCAGGAGCUGCGUUAUGCUGUAGAAAUCGCAGGGUCUUCUCUAUGCAGGUGAAAAUGGGUGAGAAGGAGUACAACUGUUGGAUUUGUGGCAGGAAUUUUCAAACGAAUGAAAGCGUAAGGAUGAAAACAGAAGAAAAGUGUUCAGCACGGAC